Molecule: long non-coding RNA, 199 nt
Organism: Sitophilus oryzae (rice weevil)
Lineage: Eukaryota; Metazoa; Arthropoda; Insecta; Coleoptera; Curculionidae
Exons: 3
Source: RefSeq, a predicted model, not a curated record
GAAAAAGGGUGUAAGUGUAUGUGUUGAGUGGCUGGAUAUUGGCUAUAUAAACCUCGUACUUACCUUGCGCCGUCGCUGUUGCUGCUGCUGCUGCCGCCGUAUCCUCCUCCUCCUAAACAGAGCUGAUGUAGACGGAAUAGCUAUUGUGUCUUGACAAAAUGGCGAAUGUAUAUAUUUUUUAUUAAAUCUUGUUAAAAUG